RNAcentral lists this long non-coding RNA (224 nucleotides) under Mytilus galloprovincialis (Mediterranean mussel). The record is from RNAcentral. Lineage: Eukaryota; Metazoa; Mollusca; Bivalvia; Mytilida; Mytilidae.
AAACAGUCGAGUAAGGCUACAGUCACAUUCAAUCCACACAUACUGAAAUGCGUGAACUGUUCCUUCACUUAAAGCACUCUAACAGGUGUGGACUGUUUCAUGUACUUACAUCAUCGAAAUUUGCUGCUUAAGAAGUAAUAUCGUCCAUUCCUCUUUUUACUUCUCAGUGGCAAAUCUAGUGAAAAAUAUCAAUUCUCCUCUCAACACUGACCCCUAGAGCUUUU